Molecule: ribosomal RNA, 700 nt
Filed under: uncultured bacterium
Lineage: Bacteria
Description: bacterial SSU rRNA
Rfam family: Bacterial small subunit ribosomal RNA
Source: RNAcentral
ACAGUGGCGAAAGGGUGAGGAAUAGAUAGGUAACGUACCCCGAGCUUCGGAAUAGCGUCAUUCGCCUUCGGGCGAAUUUCCGAAAGGGACGGUAAUACCGAAUAAUGUCAUUGUUCGAAUGGACAAUGACCAAAGAUUUAUCGGCUCAGGAGCGGCCUAUCUCCUAUCAGCUUGUUGGUGAGGUAACGGCUCACCAAGGCUGCGACGGGUAGCGGGACUGAGAGGUUGGCCCGCCACAUCGGGACUGAGACACUGCCCGGACCUCCACGGAGGGCUGCAGUAACGAAUAUUGGGCAAUGGGCGAAAGCCUGACCCAGCAACGCCGCGUGCGGGAUGAAGUCUUUCGGGAUGUAAACCGCUGUCAGGGGUAAGAAAGUCCGGCAGCAAUGCCGGAUUGAUCAGCCUCAAAGGAAGUCACGGCUAACUUCGUGCCAGCAGCCGCGGUAAGACGAAGGUGGCAAGCGUUGUUCGGAAUCACUGGGCUUAAAGGGCACGUAGGCGGAACAGUAAGCGUCCUGUGAAAUCCCCCGGCUUAACCGUGGAACAGCCGGGCGAACUGCUGUUCUUGAGGCAAGCAGGGGUGCGUGGAACUCUUGGUGGAGCGGUGAAAUGCGUAGAUAUCAAGAGGAACGCCGGUGGAGAAAUCGGCGCACUGGGCUUGUUCUGACGCUGAGGUGCGAAAGCGUGGGGAGCGAACGGG